RNAcentral lists this long non-coding RNA (9618 nucleotides) under Homo sapiens (human). RNAcentral's name for it is "non-protein coding lnc-CBLL1-2:1". Lineage: Eukaryota; Metazoa; Chordata; Mammalia; Primates; Hominidae. The record is from RNAcentral.
AUUAGUGAUUUAGCUCAUCAAAAUAUGUGGGUGAAAAAUAUUAAAACUCCAACUAAAAACCCCUCAAAUAAGACUAGAAUAAAAUUCUAAGAAUCACCCUAAAUCAUUCUACUCAGGAAUAACUUUUGCUAUGGUCUGAAUGCUUUUAUCUCCCUAAAAUUUAUAUGUUGAAAUCUCACCCCCAAUGUGAUGGUCUUAGGAGGUGGGACUGUUGAGAGGUGGCUAGGUCAUGAGGGCAGCACCCUCAUGAAUGGGAUUAGUGCCCUCAAAAAGAGGCUCCAGCGAGUGCAGUGGCUCAUGCCUGUAAUCCCAGGACUUUGGGAGGCUGAGUCAGGCAGAUCACGAGGUCAGGAGAUCGAGACCAUCCUGGCUAACACAGUGAAACCAUGUCUCUACUAAAAAUACAAAAAAUUAGCCGGGAGUGUUGGCGGGCGCCUGUAGUCCCAGCUACUCAGGAGGCUGAGGCAGUAGAAUCGCUUGAACCUGGGAGACAGAAGUUGUAGUGAGCCAAGAUCGCGCCACUGCACUUCAGCCUGGGCAACAGAGCAACUCCGUCUCAAAAAAAAUUUUUUUUUCUUUAACAUGGGAAGUAUUUUUUCCAAAGGCUCUUUCUAGGUUAAGAAAUUAUGAAAAUCUCCAAGAGGCUGAAUAUUUUUUAUUCUUGAUAUUAUUCUUAAUAGUCAUGCAUCACUUAAUGAUGGAGAUAUGUUCUGAGAAAUGUGUUAGGUGACUUCAUCAUUGUGCAAACUUCGUACGGUGAACUUACAGAAACCUAGAUGGUACAGCCUACCACACGUCUAGGUUAUAUGGUAUAGUCUAUUGCUCCAAAGCUACAACCCUGUACAGAAUGUUACUGUACAGAAUACUGUAGGCAACUAUAACACAAUGGUAUCUGUGUAUCUAAACACAGAAAAGGUACAGUAGAAAUAUGGCGUAAAAGAUAAAAAAUGGUACACUUGUAUAGGGCACUUACCAUAUAUGGAGUGAGUCAGUAAGAGAAUGUGAAAGCCUAGGACAUCACUGUAUGCUACUUUAUAGACACUGUACACUUACGCUAACUUAAAAUUAUAAAAAAUUUAUUUCAUCAAUAAUUAAGUUUACUGUAAUUUUUUAACUUUAUAAACUGUUUAAUUUUUAACUCUGACUCUUUUGGUAAUAACACAGCUUAAAAACACAAACACAUUGUACAGCUGUUUGUGUUUUUGUUGUACAGGAUAUUUUUUCUUUAUAUCCUUGUUCUAUAAGUUUUUUUCUAUUAAAAAAUGUUUUUCACUUUUAAAACCUUUUGUUAAAAACUAAGACAAAGAUACACAUUAGCACAGGCCUACUCAGGUUCAGGAUCAUCGGUAUCACUGUCUCCCACCUUCACAUCUUGUCCCACUGGAAGGUCAUCAGGGAUAAUAACAAGCUUGGAGCUGUCAUCUCCUGUGAUAACAAUGUCUUUUUCUGGAUACCUCCUGAAGGACCUGCCUGAGGCUGUCUUACAGCUGACAUUUUAAAAAAACAAGUAGUAGUAUUCUCUAAAAUAAUAAUAAAAAGGCCAGGCAUGGUGGCUCAUGCCUGUAAUCUCAGCACUUUGGGAGGCCGAGGCUGGCAGAUCACGAGGUCAGGAGUUUGAGACCAGCCUGGCCAAUAUGGUGAAACCCCAUCUCUACUAAAAAUACAAAAAUUAUCUGGGCAUGGUGGUGUGUGCCUGUAGUCCCAGAUACUCGGGAGGCUGAGGCAGAAGAAUUGCUUGAGCCCAGGAGGCGGGGGUUGCAGUGAGCCGAGAUCGCACCACUGCACUCCAGCCUAGGCGACACAGCAAGACUCCAUCUCAAAAAUAAUAAUAAUAAUAAUGAUAAAAGGUACAGUAAUACAUAAACUAGUAUAAUAAUUUGUCAUCAAGUAUUAUGUAUUGUAUAUAAUUUUAUGUGCUACACUUUUAUAUGACUGGUAGCACCGGUUUUUUUAUGCUAGCAUCACCGCAACUUGUGAGUAAUGAGUUGCACUAUGAUGUUAGGUUGGCUAUGAUGUCACUAGGUGCUAAGAAUUUUUCAACUUCAUUAUAAUUUUAUGGGGCUACCUUUGCAUGUGCAGUUGACCAAAACAUCAUUAUGCAGCAUAUAACUGUAUUUUAAACUGCUUUUCAAUUUUAAACAGUAAAAGUAGACACUUUGUGAAAAAUUAGUACCUACUAGGUUUGUCUCCUCUCUCCAAAACAAUUUUUCAGUUACAUGGUAUUUAUUUUAUCCAGGUUUGAAAUAUUUGCCUUUUAUUCUCUAAUUAUAAUUUCCAUAGUUGUUUAGUAUUAGUAAAGUUACAUAUUUAAACCAGCUAUACUUUACUAAAAUGUAAGUUUCAUGCAGGCAUGAUGAGUUAUUUGCUUUGUUCAAUGAUGUAUCUGAAGUGUCUAGAAGAAUGUCUGGCACAUAGUAGGCACUAAUAAAUACUUGUUGUUCAAUAAAUUAUUUUCCCAAUUUUUUACUUCCUGAGUUUAAAAUUUUCUCUAAUUGUAUUUGAUUGUUGCAUAUGGUAUAUAAAUAAACAUACACAUAUACACAGAUGUUUACCCCGUCCCAAGAAAAACUCAGGCAUGUUGUGUUCCUUGAGUUCCUUCAUGUUUGAAAAUGACUGUCUUUUGCCUGUAUGCUUGUGAUAAUUAAUACUGAGUGUCAACUUGAUUGUAUUGAAGGAUGUACAAUAUUAAUCCUGGUUGUGUCUGUGAGGGUAUUGCCAAAAGAGAUUAACAUUUGAGUCAGUGGGCUGUGGAAGGCAGACCCACCAUUAAUUUGGAUGGGCACCAUCUAAUCAGCUGCCAGCAUGUAUAAAACAGGCAGAAAAACGAGAAAAUGUUAGACUGGCCUAGCCUCCCAGCCCACAUCUUUCUCCCCUGCUGGAUGCCCUCUGCCCUCGAACAUCGGACUCCAAGCUCUUCAGUUUUGGAACUCGGACUGGCUCUCCUUGCUCCUCAGCCCGCAGAUGGCCUAUUGUGUGACCUUGUGAUAGUGUGAGUUAAUACUGAAUAAACUCAUAUAUGUGUGUGUGUGUGUAUGUGUGUGUGUGUGUGUGUAUAUAUAUAUAUAUAUACGUAUAUAUAUAUACGUAUAUAUAUAUAUAUAUAUCUAUAUGUGUAUAUAUAUAUAUAUAUAUAUAUAUAUAUAUAUAUAUAUAUAUGAGAUUUUGGUACCAGGAGUGUGGUUCAGAGGAACAGAAUAUUAAGGAUGGAGUAGUUAGGUUGGUUUGGGUGUUUCUGGAGGUGGCUGCUUAAUAUGAUUAGACCCAAAAAUGCUAAGGACUCUACUUCUAAUAGUAUGGAGAACACUGAUAGUCCUUGGUGUGAACUGUUUAAAGAGUUAUGCGAAAUAAAUGCAUUUGACACUCCUGAUUCAUUGCUCGUGGGAGGCAAGGAGUUUAGUGACUCUAUACAUAAUACCUUUGACCAUAUGUGGAGAACCAAGGAACAUAAUGAAGCUGGUUGGUUGGUUGCUCUUAAGUUCACUGGACAAAAUGAUGAAAGAAAAUAAUGAACUCAGGGAUUCUGUCUCCCAGUUUCAGAAACAGACACUGAGCCUCAAAUGUGCUGAGAUGGCCCUGAGUGAGAGUCUUAUCUCCUGUAGAGAAAGAGCUGAAAUUGUGGAAAAACAGACGCAAGCUCUUAUCACAUGAGUGGCUGAUCUGCAAUGAAAGGUGAAUGCACAGCCUCGCCAGGUGUCUACUGUUAAAGUGAAGGCAUUGAUUGGAAAAGAAUGGGACCCUGAAACUUGGAAUGGGGAUGUGUGGGAGGACCCUGAUGAAGCUGGGGACACUGAGCUUAUAAGAUCUGAUGAACAUUUUUUUGCCAGAAGGAACAGCUUCCCCAUCCCCAGUAGUGGGAACAUCCCCUCCCUGACCCAUGCUGCCAUCAGUCUUUCCACCUUUGUCUGAGGAGACACCUGUGAUGUCUGAGGCAACAGUGAUGGCAUCCCCUCAGGCAGUUGCCAGGCAAGAUAAUGUUGAUUCUCCUCAGGAGACACCCCCAACACCUCUCUUUGCUUCUAGACCUAUAACUAGACUAAAGUCCUGACGGGUGCCUAGAGGUGAGGUUGAGUGUGACCCAUAAGGAGGUGCACUACACUCAAAAAGAACUGCUUGAGUUUUCUGAUUUAUAUAAACAGAAAUCUGGAGAACCGGCAUGGGAAUGAAUAUUAAGGGUGUGGGAUAAUGGUGGAAGGAACAUAGAAUUGGAUCAGGCUGAAUUUAUUGAUUGGGCCCACUAAGUAGGGACACCAUUUAAUGUUGCAGCUCAGGGAGUUAAAAAGGUUCUAAUAGUUUAUUUUCUUGGUUAGCUAAAAUAUGGAUUAAAAGAUGGUCCACUGUGAGCAAGCUGGAAAUGCCUGAUCUCUCUUGGUUUAAUGUAGAGGAAGGGAUCCCAAGGCUUAGGGAGACUGGGAUGGUGGAGUGGAUUAGUCACUUUAGACCUACUCAUCCCACCUGAGAGGGUCCAGAAGAUAUAUCCUUGACCAAUGCCUUGCAAAAUAUAUUUGGGAGGGCAGCACCUGCAUCUUUGAAGAGCCCUGUAAUUGCUCUUUUCUGUAUGUCAGAGCUAACAGUGGGAACCACAGUCACUCAACUACAAAAUUUAAAUACAAUGGGAAUAACUGGAUCCCAAGGUGGCAGGGGCAAAGUAGCAGCACUCAACUGUAAAAGGCAGGGUGGGUAUAGCUACUGUAAUGGAAAGCAGAGGCAAAGUGGCAAUCAGAAUAGUCUGAUUCAUGUAGAGCUCUGGCAUUGGCUAAUUAAUCACAGUGCUCCUAGAAGUGAAAUUGAUAGGAAGCCUACUGCAUUCCUACUUAAUUUAUAUAAGCAGAAAACUUCUAAGUCAAAUGGAUAAAAUACUAAUUUAAAUUAUAAAAACAGAGAAUCAUGCCCCCUCAAUUAAUUUCCAGACAUGAGCCAGUUUACAGACCCAGAACCCCUUGAAUGAAGGGGAGGCUGGGUCCCCUUGAUGAAAGACCCCACUACAUUACUGACAGUAUCUUUCUCCCAUCCUUCCCCAAGGAGACUUCUUGCCUUUUACCAAGGUAACUGUAUCUUGGGGAAAGGGAAAUGAUCAGACACUUCAGGGACUACUGGACACUAGCUCUGAGCUGACGUUGAUUCCAGGGGACCGAAAACAUCAUUGUUGUCCUCCAGUUAAAUUAAUUAAUUAAAUAAAUUAAAUUAAUUACCAGUCAGGUAAUUAAUGGAGUUUUAGCUCAGGUCCAACUUACAGUGGGUCCAGUGUGUCCCCAAACUCAUCUUAUGAUUAUUUCCCCAGUGCCAGAAUGCAUAAUUGGCAUAGACAUACUUAGCAGCUGGCAGAACCCCCAUAUUGGCUCCCUGACUGGUAGGGUGAGGGCUAUUAUGGUGGGAAAGGCUAAAUGGAAGCCAUUAGAGCUGCCUCUAUCUAGAAAAAUAGUAAAUAAAAAACAAUAUCGCAUCCCUGGAGGGAUUGCUGAGAUUAGUGCCACCAUCAAGGACUUCAAAGAUGCAGGGGUGGUAAUUCCCACCAUAUCCCUGUUCAACUCUCCCAUUUGGCCUGUGCAGAAGAAAGAUGGAUCUUGGAGAAUGGCAGUGGAUUACCAUAAGCUUAACCCAGUGGUAACUCCAACUGGAGCUGCUGUACCAGGUUUCAUUGCUUGAGCAAAUUAACACAUCUCCUUGUACCUUGUAUGCAGCCAUUGACUUGGUAAAUGCCUUUUUCUCUAUGCCUGUCCAUAAGGCUCACUAGAAGCAAUUUGCCUUCAGCUGGCAAGGCCAGCAAUAUCCCUUUACUGUCCUACCUCAGGGAUAUAUCUACUCUCCAGUUUUGUGUCAUAAUCUUAUUCAGAGAGACCUUGAUCACUUUUCGCUUCCACAAGAUAUCACGCUGGUCCAUUACAUUAAUGACAUUAUGCUGAUUGAAUCCAGUGAGUGAGAAGUAGCAAACACACUGGACUUACUGGUGAGAUAUUUGCAUGCCAGAGGACCAGAAAUAAAUUCAACUACAAUUCAGGAAUCUUCUACCUCAGCAAAAUUUCUAGGGGUCCAGUGGUGUGGGGCCUAUCGAGAUAUUCCUUCUAAAGUGAAGGAUAAGUUGCUUCAUUUGGCCCCUCCUACAACCAAGAAAGAGGCACAAUGCCUAGUGGGCCUAUUUGGAUUUUGGGGGCAACACAUUUCUCAUUUGGGUGUGUUACUCCAGCCCAUUUAUUGAGUGACCCAAAAGGCUGCCAGUUUUGAGUAGGGUCCAGAACAGGAGAAGGCUCUGCAACAGGUCCAGGUUGCUGUGCAAGCUGCUCUGCCACUUGAGCCAUAUGACCCAGCAGAUCCAAUGGGUGCUUGAGGUGUCAGUAGCUGAUAGGGAUGCAGUUUGGGGCCCUUGGCAGGCCCUCAUAGGUGAAUAACAGCAGAGGCCUCUAGGAUUUUUGAGCAAGGCCCUGCCAUCUUCUGCAGAUAACUACUCUCCUUUUGAGAGACAUAUCUUGGCCUGUUACUAGGCUUUGGUGGAAACUGAAUGUUUGACUAAGGGUCAUCAAGUCAUCAUGCAACCUGAAUUGCCUAUCAUGAACUGGGUACUUUCUGACCCAUCUAGCUAUAAAGUGGGUCCUGCACAGCAGCAUUCCAUCAUCAAGUGGAAGUGGUAUAUACGUGACUAGGCUUGAGCAGGUCCUAAAGGCACAAGCAAGUUACAUGAGAAAGUGCCUCGAAUGCCCAUGGUCACCAAUCCUGCCACCCUGCCUUCUCUCCUCCAGCUUGCACCAAUGGCCUCAUGGGGAAUUCCCUAUGAUCAGUUGACAGAGGAAGAGAAGACUAGGGCCUGGUUCACAGAUGUUUCUGCAUGGUAUGCAGGAACCACCCAAAAGUGGACAGCUGCAGCACUACAGCCCCUUUCUAAGACAUCCCCGAAGGACAGUGGUGAAGGGAAAUCUUCCUGGAGGGCAGAACUUUGAGCAGUGCACCCGGUUGUGCACUUUGCAUGGAAGGAGAAAUGGCCAGAUGUGUGAUUAUAUACUGCUGAGACCAGCUUGGUCAGGGAGACCCCAACCCAGCGGCGCUAGAGGAAUUAAAGACACACACACAGAAAUAUAGAGGUGUAAAGUGGGAAAUCAGGGGUCUCACAGCCGUCAGAGCUGAGAGCCUAGAGCAGAGAUUUACCCAUGUAUUUAUUAACAGCAAGCCAGUCAUUAGGAUUGUUUCUAUAGAUAUUUGAUUAAUUAAAAGUGUCCCUUAUGGGAAACGAAGGGAUGAGCCAAAAUAAAGGGGUGGGUUUGGCUAGUUAUCUGCAGCAGGAACAUGCCCUUAAGGCACAGAUCACUCAUGCUAUUGUUUGUGGUUUAAGAACACCUUUAAGCGGUUUUCUGCCCUGGGUGGGCCAGGUGUUCUUUGCCCUCAUUCUGGUAAACCCACAACCUUCCAGCAUGGGUGUUAUGGCCAUCAUGAACAUGUCACAGUGCUGCAGAGAUUUUGUUUAUGGCCAGUUUUGGGGCCAGUUUAUGGCCAGAUUUUGGGGGGCUUGUUCCCAACAAUAUACUGAUUCAUGGGCUGUAGCCAAUGGUUUGGCUGGAUGGUCAGGGACUUGAAAGAAGCAUGAUUGGAAAAUUGGUGACAAAGAAAUCUGGGGAAGAGGUAUGUGGAUGGACCUCUCUGAGGGGUAAAAAACAGUGAAGAUAUUUGUAACCCAUGUGAGUGCUCACCAGUGGGUAACCUCAGCAUAGGAGAAUUUUAAUAAUCAAGCGGAUAGGAUGACCCACUUGUUCUGUAGACACCCCUCAGCCUCUUUCCCCAGCCACCCCUGCCAUCGCCCAAUGGGCCCAUGAACAAAGUGGCCAUGGUGGCAGGGAUGGAGGUUAUGCAUGGACUCAGCAACAUGGACUUCCACUCACCAAGGCUAACCUAGCUGCGGCCACUGCUGAGUGCCCAAUUUGCCAGCAGCAGAGACCAACACUGAGCCCUCAAUAUGGCACCAUUCCUCGGGGUGAUCAGCCAGUUACCUGGUGGCAGUUUGAUUAUAUUGGACCUCUUAAAUCAUAGAAAGAGCAGAGGUUUGUCCUCACUGGAACAGAUACUUACUCUGGAUAUGGGUUUGCCUAUCCUGCAUGCAAUGCUUCUGCCAAGAUGACCAUCCAUGGACUCAUGGCAUGCCUUAUCCACUGUCACGUUAUUCCACACAGCAUUGCCUCUGACCAAGAGACUCCCUUUACAGCUAAAGAAGUGUGGCAGUGGGCUCAUGCUCAUGGAAUUCACUCUUCUUACCAUGUUCCCCAUUACCCUGAAGCACCGUUCUAUCAAUAGAACGGUGGAAUGGCCUUUUGAAGUCACAAUGCCAACUAGGUGACAGUACUUUGCAGGGCUGGGGCAAAGUCCUCCAGAAAGCCAUGGAUGCUCUGAAGCAGCGUCCAAUAUAUGGUACUGUUUCUCCCAUAGCCAGGAUUCACAGGUCCAGGAAUCAAAGGGUGGAAAUGGAAGUGGCACCACUCACCAUCACCCCUAGCGAUCUACUAGUAAAAUUUUUGCUUCCUGUUCCUGCAACAUUACGUUCUGCUGGCUUAGAGGUCUUAGUUCCAGAGGGAGGAACACUGCCACCAGGAGACACAAUGAUUCCAUUAAACUGGAAGUUAAGAUUGCUACCUGGACACUUUGGGCUCCUAUUACCUUUAAGUCAACAGGCUAAGAAGGGAGUUACAGUGUUGGCUGGGGUGACUGACCUGGACUAUCAAGACAAAAUCAGUCUACUACUCCACAACAGAGGCAGGGAAGAGUACACAUGGAAUACAGGAGAUCCAUUAGGGUGUCUCUUAGUAUUACCAUGCCCUGUGAUUAAGAUUAACAGGAAACUACAACAGCGCAAUCCAGGCGGGACUACAAAUGGCCUAGACACUUCAGGAAUGAAGGUUUGGGUCACUCCACCAGGAAAAAACCAUGACCUCCUGAGGUGCCUGCUGAAGCCAAAUGGAAUACAGAACGGACAGUAGAAGAGGGUAGUCAUCAGUACCAGCUACGACCACAUGACCAGCUGCAGACACAAGGACUGUAAUUGUCAUGAGUAUUUCUUCCUUCUUUUGUUAAAAACAUGUUUGUGCAUGUAUACACUUGUACUAAGAAAAUAUCUCCAUUUUAUUUCCUUUUUCUGUUACCAUGUGACAUAAGAUUUAUUGACUUCACAUCAGCAUUUAAAUAUUAACUUUAUGUAAUAGUAUUUGGGUAGGAGAUUGGUGCGUUUCCGUUUGUACAAAGGAUGGUUUUAUUAUGUUAGAUGUAAUUAUGACCUUAUUAUUGUCUUUAUUUGAAGAUGAUGUGUGAUCUCAGGAGAUGUGUAUGGGUUCAAGCUGACAAGUAGUAGACUUAUGAUGGUUAGUGCUGAGGGUCAACUUGAUUGAAGGAUGCAAAAUAUUGAUCCUGGGUGUGUCUGUGAGGGUGUUGCCAAAGGAGAUUAACAUUUGAGUCAGUGGGCUGGGAAAGGCAGACCCACACUUAAUCUGGGUGGGCACCAUCUGAUCAGCUGCCAGGGUGGUUAGAAUAUAUAAAGCAGGCAGAAAAAUGUGAAAAGACAAGACUAGCCUAGCCUCCCAGCCUAGAUCUUUCUCCCGUGCUGGAUGCUUCCUACCCUCAAACAUCGGAUUCCAAGUUCUUGUUUUGGGG